Pygocentrus nattereri (red-bellied piranha) is the source of this 826-nucleotide long non-coding RNA. RefSeq lists it as uncharacterized. The transcript is spliced from 2 exons. NCBI's taxonomy places the organism in Eukaryota, Metazoa, Chordata, Actinopteri, Characiformes, Serrasalmidae. The record is from RefSeq and is a predicted model, not a curated record.
UACACAGCCUGCGUGUAUUAACCAUCUCUCGUUCUUGACUCGACCCGUCUGCUCUUUAACACCCUCACUUUAAUCUGAAAUCCUUGCAGACACAAAGGUCCUUGUUGGAUACAGCAGGAAAUGGGGGAUACACAAUCAAGAUCUAAUACACAUGUGGCCAAUGCAACAGAUAAGCACUUGAGAAUUUACUAUCAGACAACUAAGAUGACGCUUGAAGAGCUUGUGAUCAAAGCAGAUGCAGGGCUUGGCUAUUCAAACUUCAGCUUCUCGGCACAGGUGAACACCAGCACCACAAUGGUUUUUAAACCUGACUCGCGAGUGCGCUACCUCCGCCUUCCUCCUAGAGAAUUCACUAACUUCGCAGGGGAAGGGGAGCUGUUUGCCAGCGUCCUUGUGGAAGAUAAAGACAACCCAGAGGUCUACCUCAAGUACAUCUGCAUGAACUUCCAUGUUCCCAGUGACCGAUCCUUCAUUGUGACGGGCAGUGAAAACAUCAAGCUCCAGAAGUACGGUGCAAACGUCUGGGUUGAUGACGAUGGAACAAACCAUUCUGGAUAAUAAUUAUAAUAAUAAUAAUAAUAAUGAAACUUAAAAAAUAAUUGGACGUUUCAUUUGAUUUCCAUGUCAUUGUUCAAUAACAUCUUCUAAAACGUCUGGGUUGAUGACGAUGGAACGAACCAUCAAUGGUAUUAAUAAAAAAACUUUUCAAAACAAUUGUUAUUGCAAACUGAUAAAUAAGUUCUUCUAAAACGGAAACUGUGUGUUGUGUUAUUAGAUAAAUCACUGGUUUAUGCUUUUAUGAAUAAAAAUUGAUUUGAUGACUAAA